RNAcentral lists this unclassified non-coding RNA (383 nucleotides) under Hevea brasiliensis (rubber tree). The record is from RNAcentral. Lineage: Eukaryota; Viridiplantae; Streptophyta; Magnoliopsida; Malpighiales; Euphorbiaceae.
AAAUUAAAUGAAUACUUAAGUCUGAAAAGUCAAAACACCUCCAAUCCAUAUAAAACUCCAGCAUGUUUUUCUGGCCCAUCUUUCAGAAAAUAGACAUCCCUCAUCUUUUGAAAUGCGUGCCAUGUCAACAAGCUGUCUGAUCCGGCUUGGUGGCAUUUGCCAACAGCUCGAUUUACGUCGAGUGUCCGAGCUACCCGAUCCAAACCACCAUAUAAGCUAUCACAGAACUUUAUCAUGUGUUUGAGGUCGUAAACUCUAUUCCCGAAGAACACCCUUAACAAUUUCAAAAAAUCCAAUAAACUACAGGGCAAAACUCGACGUGUCAAAAUCUUCACUAAAUACCCGAAAUCGUAGGCGCUAUGAAACGUAAUCCAACUCACUGA